GAUGAACGCUGGCGGCGUGCUUAACACAUGCAAAGUCGAACGGAGUUUACAUGUGAGCGGAGGGUGCUUGCAUCUAACAAUCUUUUGUAAACUUAGUGGCGGACAGGUGAGUAACGCGUGGGUAACCUGCCGUAUACAGGGGGACAACGAGUUGGAAACGACUGCUAAUACCGCAUAAGCGCACAGGACCGCAUGGUCUGGUGUGAAAAACUCCGGUGGUAUACGAUGGACCCGCGUCUGAUUAGCUAGUUGGUGAGGUAACGGCCCACCAAGGCGACGAUCAGUAGCCGGCCUGAGAGGGUUGAAACGGCCACAUUGGGACUGAGACA
Molecule: ribosomal RNA, 329 nt
Filed under: uncultured bacterium
Lineage: Bacteria
Description: bacterial SSU rRNA
Rfam family: Bacterial small subunit ribosomal RNA
Source: RNAcentral